This 71-nucleotide transfer RNA is filed under the name Loxodonta africana (African savanna elephant). It matches the Rfam family "tRNA". Rfam says of the family: Transfer RNA (tRNA) molecules are approximately 80 nucleotides in length. Their secondary structure includes four short double-helical elements and three loops (D, anti-codon, and T loops). Lineage: Eukaryota; Metazoa; Chordata; Mammalia; Proboscidea; Elephantidae. The record is from Rfam by way of RNAcentral.
GCAUUGGUGGUUCAACGAUAGAAUUCUUGUCUCUCAUGCAGGAGACCUGGGUUAAAUUCCCAGCCAACAUA